UGGGGGUAGCGAGACUUGAACUCGCACGACAAAUAAGUCGACAGAUUUUAAGUCUGUUGUGUCUACCAUUCCACCAUACCCCC
Molecule: transfer RNA, 83 nt
Filed under: Tisochrysis lutea
Lineage: Eukaryota; Haptophyta; Isochrysidales; Isochrysidaceae
Description: tRNA-Leu
Source: RNAcentral